Molecule: ribosomal RNA, 253 nt
Filed under: uncultured bacterium
Lineage: Bacteria
Description: partial 16S ribosomal RNA
Rfam family: Bacterial small subunit ribosomal RNA
Source: RNAcentral
AACGUAGGAGGCAAGCGUUAUCCGGAAUCACUGGGCGUAAAGGGCGUCUAGGCGGGUUCUUAAGCGUGGUGUGAAAGCUCCUGGCUCAACUGGGAGAGUGCGCCGCGAACUGAGGGUCUAGAGGGCAGGCGAAGGGGGUGGAAUUCCCGGUGGAGUGGUGAAAUGCGUAGAGAUCGGGAGGAACACCAGAGGCGAAAGCGGCCUCCUAGCCUGUUUCUGACGCUGAAGCGCGAAAGCGUGGGGAGCAAACGGG